Molecule: non-coding RNA, 255 nt
Filed under: Anaerosporomusa subterranea
Lineage: Bacteria; Bacillati; Bacillota; Negativicutes; Acetonemataceae
Description: Anaerosporomusa subterraneum T-box sequence
Rfam family: T-box leader
About the family: Uncharged tRNA acts as the effector for transcription antitermination of genes in the T-box leader family. T-boxes are found upstream of many aminoacyl-tRNA synthetase genes and some amino acid biosynthetic genes usually in Gram-positive bacteria.
Source: RNAcentral
AUAAAAGUGAAGACGGAAAAAGUAGAUGUAUACUUGCUAUGCAGAGAGCUGAUGGUUGGUGAGAAUCAGUUAGUGGUAUAGAUUGAAGUUCAUUCCUGAACUGCGAGGCUGAACGAUAGUAGGCUGAGCCGGGUUGGCAUUCGUUAAUGUGCUAUGAGUUGAUCUGAUUCGGAACUUUCCGUCCCUUGCGGUAGCGCUUUUUUAUUUCGACGGAUAACUAGGGUGGUACCGCGAUGCACGUCCGUCGUCCCUUUU